This is a long non-coding RNA of Prosopis cineraria, 781 nucleotides long. RefSeq lists it as uncharacterized. The transcript is spliced from 2 exons. NCBI's taxonomy places the organism in Eukaryota, Viridiplantae, Streptophyta, Magnoliopsida, Fabales, Fabaceae. The record is from RefSeq and is a predicted model, not a curated record.
AUUCUAAUCUAAAUUAAGUUUUGUUAGAUUGGUUGAUAUUGAGAAUUUGAUUAGGAUGAAGUUGAAAGAGAAGAACAAAAUUGAAAAAAAAAAUUGGUGCAAAGUAUAAAAAGAAAAUUUUCACCUCAGGGAAAUAGAAUGGCAUGACUAAAGUUUUAUGGAGAAAGUCAUAAGGGUAAAUAAUAAUACUUGGAGUAACUUUAAAUUAUAGAUUUAAUUUUUGAAUUUUAAAUAAUGAUAGUGUGGAUUCAAUUCUCAAUUGGAAAUAACUGGAUAUUGGUAAAAGGUGGAAUUGGGAAGGAAGCCUUUGUAAAUUAAAAGAUGAUUUAUUAAAUUUUGGCUACUAAUAUCUUUAUAGGACGCGUAGAGGAAGAGGAUCCCGAUAGAAAUUAAAUAAAUAAUAUUUUGGAGAUUUGAAAUCACAACAGAUUGGUUAACUGACGCCGAUUUCAUCAACGACCUCAAAAAGGGCAACUAACUACAGUGGGUGGACAUUUUGAUUGGUAUUGUUGCUUUAAUGUAAAUACAUAAAUUGUAUGUCUUUUUGAUUUGAAAGAAAUAGCAGAUGCUCCACAUAGAUUGUUGAUAAAUUUUAUUUUUGGUCUGUAUAUUGGUUGUUGGCUGGAAGGAGCUACGCUCCUGAUUUAUACUGAUAUUUGUAAAAUUUUUAUUGUAGAAUUUUCAGGAGAUCCUAGUUACAGGGGAGGUUCUGCUGAAAUUUCUACAAAAACGUUGACACUUUCUUAUGACAAUGAAUUUAAAGAAGUUAUUUUAAUUUUUA